Jatropha curcas is the source of this 308-nucleotide non-coding RNA. NCBI's taxonomy places the organism in Eukaryota, Viridiplantae, Streptophyta, Magnoliopsida, Malpighiales, Euphorbiaceae. The record is from RefSeq and is a predicted model, not a curated record.
UUGCUAAUUAUGGCAGCUUGUGCAUUUUGUGCAUUUUGUGUUGGACCUUAUUAGCAGCUCAGGAACUGAAGCAUCUUUUGCAGCCAGAUAUGGUUGUUUGGUUAUCAUAGAAAAUGUUGAGCGUCUAGCUGUUGGAGCAUUAGUCUCUAUAAGGGGAAUUGGUCGUGUCAAGAUUGUGAAAUUUUUGCAGUCAGAGCCUUACUUGAUAGGUGAAGUUAUCCAACAAAGGACUAAGAUUAUCCUUCGAAGGUGAAACAUUAUAAACUCAAAAAUAACUACAGUAAAGGAGGUCUCUUUACAGUUUGAAU